RNAcentral lists this ribosomal RNA (405 nucleotides) under uncultured bacterium. Its description in RNAcentral is "partial 16S ribosomal RNA". It matches the Rfam family "Bacterial small subunit ribosomal RNA", at positions 28 to 526 of the family's 1533-position model. The record is from RNAcentral.
GACGAACGCUGGCGGCGUGCUUAACACAUGCAAGUCGAGCGGAGCGGCGAACGGGUGAGUAACGAGUGAGUAACUGCCCCCCUCUCUGGGAUAACAGUUGGAAACGGCUGCUAAUACCGGAUAGUGGGGGAUGACUCGCGUCCUAUCAUCUUGUUGGUGGGGUAGUGGCCUCCCAAGGCGACGACGGGUAGCCGGCCUGCGCGGUGGAUCGGCCAAAUUGGGCUGAGGUACGGCCCAAACUCCUACGGUGGGCAGCAGUGGGGAAUAUGGCACAGUGGGGGAAACCCUGAUGCAGCAACGCCGCGGGCGGAAUGACGGCCUUCGGGGUGUAAACCGCUUUCAGCCAUGACGCGGUAGUGGCAGAAGAAGCACCGGCUAACUACGUGCCAGCAGCCGCGGUAAUUC